Molecule: ribosomal RNA, 253 nt
Filed under: uncultured bacterium
Lineage: Bacteria
Description: partial 16S ribosomal RNA
Rfam family: Bacterial small subunit ribosomal RNA
Source: RNAcentral
GACAGAGGGUGCAAACGUUGCUCGGAAUCACUGGGCGUAAAGGGCGUGUAGGCGGAUCGGCAAGUCGGGCGUGAAAUCCCUGGGCUCAACCCAGGAACUGCACUCGAAACUGCCUUUCUUGAGUGCCGGAGAGGAAAGCGGAAUUCCUGGUGUAGAGGUGAAAUUCGUAGAUAUCAGGAGGAACACCAGUGGCGAAGGCGGCUUUCUGGACGAUAACUGACGCUGAGACGCGAAAGCGUGGGGAGCAAACAGG